Molecule: ribosomal RNA, 1445 nt
Filed under: uncultured marine cyanobacterium
Lineage: Bacteria; Bacillati; Cyanobacteriota
Description: bacterial SSU rRNA
Rfam family: Bacterial small subunit ribosomal RNA
Source: RNAcentral
GAGUUUGAUCAUGGCUCAGGAUGAACGCUGGCGGCGUGCUUAACACAUGCAAGUCGAACGAACCUUCGGGUUAGUGGCGGACGGGUGAGUAACGCGUGGGAAUCUGCCCUCAGGAGGGGGAUAACAGUUGGAAACGACCGCUAAUACCCCAUAUGCCGAGAGGUGAAAUGAAUUUCGCCUGAGGAUGAGCCCGCGUCUGAUUAGCUUGUUGGUGAGGUAAUGGCUCACCAAGGCUUCGAUCAGUAGCUGGUCUGAGAGGAUGAUCAGCCACACUGGGACUGAGACACGGCCCAGACUCCUACGGGAGGCAGCAGUGGGGAAUUUUCCGCAAUGGGCGAAAGCCUGACGGAGCAACGCCGCGUGAGGGACGAAGGCCUCUGGGCUGUAAACCUCUUUUCUCAAGGAAGAAGAUAUGACGGUACUUGAGGAAUAAGCCACGGCUAAUUCCGUGCCAGCAGCCGCGGUAAUACGGGAGUGGCAAGCGUUAUCCGGAAUUAUUGGGCGUAAAGCGUCCGCAGGCGGCCUUUCAAGUCUGCUGUUAAAACGUGGAGCUUAACUCCAUCAUGGCAGUGGAAACUGAUUGGCUUGAGUAUGGUAGGGGCAGAGGGAAUUCCCGGUGUAGCGGUGAAAUGCGUAGAUAUCGGGAAGAACACCAGUGGCGAAGGCGCUCUGCUGGGCCAUUACUGACGCUCAUGGACGAAAGCCAGGGGAGCGAAAGGGAUUAGAUACCCCUGUAGUCCUGGCCGUAAACGAUGAACACUAGGUGUCGGGGGAAUCGACCCCUUCGGUGUCGUAGCUAACACGUUAAGUGUUCCGCCUGGGGAGUACGCACGCAAGUGUGAAACUCAAAGGAAUUGACGGGGGCCCGCACAAGCGGUGGAGUAUGUGGUUUAAUUCGAUGCAACGCGAAGAACCUUACCAGGGCUUGACAUCCUGCGAACCUUUAAGAAAUUAGAGGGUGCCUUCGGGAACGCAGUGACAGGUGGUGCAUGGCUGUCGUCAGCUCGUGUCGUGAGAUGUUGGGUUAAGUCCCGCAACGAGCGCAACCCACGUUUUUAGUUGCCAGCAUUUAGUUGGGCACUCUAGAAAGACCGCCGGUGAUAAACCGGAGGAAGGUGUGGAUGACGUCAAGUCAUCAUGCCCCUUACGUCCUGGGCUACACACGUACUACAAUGCUACGGACAAAGGGCAGCAAACUCGCGAGAGCUAGCAAAUCCCAUAAACCGUGGCUCAGUUCAGAUCGUAGGCUGCAACUCGCCUACGUGAAGUAGGAAUCGCUAGUAAUCGCAGGUCAGCAUACUGCGGUGAAUACGUUCCCGGGCCUUGUACACACCGCCCGUCACACCAUGGAAGUUGGCCACGCCCGAAGUCGUUACUUUAACCCUUGUGGAGAAGGACGCCGAAGGUGGGGCUGAUGACUGGGGUGAAGUCGUAACAAGGUAACC